UACGGGGGGGGCAAGCGUUGUUCGGAAUUACUGGGCGUAAAGGGCUCGUAGGUCGCCAACUAAGUCAGACGUGAAAUCCCUCGGCUUAACCGGGGAACUGCGUCUGAUACUGGAUGGCUUGAGUUUGGGAGAGGGACGCGGAAUUCCAGGUGUAGCGGUGAAAUGCGUAGAUAUCUGGAGGAACACCGGUGGCGAAGGCGGCCAGCUGGGCCGUCCCUGACGCUGAGGCGCGAAGGCGUGGGGAGCGAACGGG
RNAcentral lists this ribosomal RNA (253 nucleotides) under uncultured bacterium. RNAcentral describes it as "partial 16S ribosomal RNA". It matches the Rfam family "Bacterial small subunit ribosomal RNA", at positions 524 to 776 of the family's 1533-position model. The record is from RNAcentral.